GACCCAGUCGCCUAAUGGAUAAGGCAUCAGCC
This 32-nucleotide non-coding RNA is filed under the name Sus scrofa (pig). The record is from RNAcentral. RNAcentral also lists the same sequence under 1 other name. Lineage: Eukaryota; Metazoa; Chordata; Mammalia; Artiodactyla; Suidae.